This 468-nucleotide ribosomal RNA is filed under the name uncultured bacterium. RNAcentral's name for it is "partial 16S ribosomal RNA". It matches the Rfam family "Bacterial small subunit ribosomal RNA", at positions 28 to 507 of the family's 1533-position model. The record is from RNAcentral.
GACGAACGCUGGCGGCGUGCUUAACACAUGCAAGUCGAACGGAAAGGCCCUGGUUUUGUGGGAUGCUCGAGUGGCGAACGGGUGAGUAACACGUGAGUAACCUGCCCUUGACUUUGGGAUAACGUCAGGAAAGUGGGGGUAAUACCGGAUAGGAGCUCCUGCUGCAUGGUGGGGGUUGGAAAGAUUCGGCGGUUGGGGAUGGACUCGCGGCGUAUCAGCUUGUUGGUGGGGUAGUGGCUUACCAAGGCUUUGACGGGUAGCCGGCCUGGGAGGGGGACCGGCGACAUUGGGACUGAGCUACCGCCCGGACUCCUACGGGAGGCAGCAGUAGGGAACAUUGCACAGUGGGCGGCAGCCAGCUGCAACAACGCCGCGUGCGGGAUUAGUGCCUUCCGGUUGUAAACCGAUAUCGCCUGUCACGAGGCGGGAGUGACGGUAAUGGGUAAAGAAGCACCGGCUAACUACGUG